CCUACGGGUGGCAGCAGUGGGGAAUAUUGCACAAUGGGGGAAACCCUGAUGCAGCCAUGCCGCGUGUAUGAAGAAGGCCUUAGGGUUGUAAAGUACUUUCGGUGAUGAGGAAGGUGCUUGGUCUAAUAGGCCAAGUAAUUGAAGUUAAUUACAGAAGAAGCACCGGCUACUCCGUGCCAGCAGCCGCGGUAAUACGGAGGGUGCGAGCGUUAAUCGGAAUGACUGGGCGUAAAGGGCAUGUAGGCGGAUGAUUAAGUUAGAUGUGAAAUCCCCGAGCUCAACUUGGGAAUUGCAUUUAAAACUGGUCGUCUAGAGUAUUGUAGAGGAAGGUAGAAUUCCACGUGUAGCGGUGAAAUGCGUAGAGAUGUGGAGGAAUACCGGUGGCGAAGGCGGCCUUCUGGACAGAUACUGACGCUGAGAUGCGAAAGCGUGGGGAGCAAACAGGAUUAGAUACCCGAGUAGUC
RNAcentral lists this ribosomal RNA (464 nucleotides) under uncultured bacterium. RNAcentral describes it as "bacterial SSU rRNA". It matches the Rfam family "Bacterial small subunit ribosomal RNA", at positions 338 to 795 of the family's 1533-position model. The record is from RNAcentral.